GGUGACACAGUGACAGAGUUAGGGAUGGAGUGACUAGUGACAGAGAGAAGGAUGGGGUGACUAGUGACAGAGUGAGGAAGGGGGUGACUAGGGAGAGAGGGGGUGAUUAGUGACAGAGUGAGGGAGGGGGUGACUAGUGACAGAGUGAGGGAGCGGGUGACACAGUGACAGAGUUAGGGAGGGAGUGACUAGUGACAGAGAGAGGGAUGGGGUGACUAGUGACAGUCACCCCCCCCUCACUCUGUCACCAGUCAUCCCCUCACUCUGUCACUAGUCACCCCUUCCCUCCCUCACUUUGCCACUCGUCAUCUCUUCCCUCCCUCACUCUGCCACUAGUCACCCAUUCCCUCACUCUGUCACUAGUCUCCCCCUCUCCUUCCCUCUGUCACUAGUCACCCACUCCCUCACUCUGUCACCAGUCACCCCCACUCACUGUGUCU
This 440-nucleotide small RNA is filed under the name Pelobates cultripes (western spadefoot toad). Lineage: Eukaryota; Metazoa; Chordata; Amphibia; Anura; Pelobatidae. The record is from RNAcentral.